Molecule: ribosomal RNA, 2803 nt
Filed under: Escherichia coli
Lineage: Bacteria; Pseudomonadati; Pseudomonadota; Gammaproteobacteria; Enterobacterales; Enterobacteriaceae
Description: 23S ribosomal RNA
Rfam family: Bacterial large subunit ribosomal RNA
Source: RNAcentral
UAACCGGCGAUUUCCGAAUGGGGAAACCCAGUGUGUUUCGACACACUAUCAUUAACUGAAUCCAUAGGUUAAUGAGGCGAACCGGGGGAACUGAAACAUCUAAGUACCCCGAGGAAAAGAAAUCAACCGAGAUUCCCCCAGUAGCGGCGAGCGAACGGGGAGGAGCCCAGAGCCUGAAUCAGUGUGUGUGUUAGUGGAAGCGUCUGGAAAGGCGCGCGAUACAGGGUGACAGCCCCGUACACAAAAAUGCACAUACUGUGAGCUCGAUGAGUAGGGCGGGACACGUGGUAUCCUGUCUGAAUAUGGGGGGACCAUCCUCCAAGGCUAAAUACUCCUGACUGACCGAUAGUGAACCAGUACCGUGAGGGAAAGGCGAAAAGAACCCCGGCGAGGGGAGUGAAAAAGAACCUGAAACCGUGUACGUACAAGCAGUGGGAGCCUCUUAAUGGGGUGACUGCGUACCUUUUGUAUAAUGGGUCAGCGACUUAUAUUCUGUAGCAAGGUUAACCGAAUAGGGGAGCCGAAGGGAAACCGAGUCUUAACUGGGCGUUAAGUUGCAGGGUAUAGACCCGAAACCCGGUGAUCUAGCUAUGGGCAGGUUGAAGGUUGGGUAACACUAACUGGAGGACCGAACCGACUAAUGUUGAAAAAUUAGCGGAUGACUUGUGGCUGGGGGUGAAAGGCCAAUCAAACCGGGAGAUAGCUGGUUCUCCCCGAAAGCUAUUUAGGUAGCGCCUCGUGAAUUCAUCUCCGGGGGUAGAGCACUGUUUCGGCAAGGGGGUCAUCCCGACUUACCAACCCGAUGCAAACUGCGAAUACCGGAGAAUGUUAUCACGGGAGACACACGGCGGGUGCUAACGUCCGUCGUGAAGAGGGAAACAACCCAGACCGCCAGCUAAGGUCCCAAAGUCAUGGUUAAGUGGGAAACGAUGUGGGAAGGCCCAGACAGCCAGGAUGUUGGCUUAGAAGCAGCCAUCAUUUAAAGAAAGCGUAAUAGCUCACUGGUCGAGUCGGCCUGCGCGGAAGAUGUAACGGGGCUAAACCAUGCACCGAAGCUGCGGCAGCGACGCUUAUGCGUUGUUGGGUAGGGGAGCGUUCUGUAAGCCUGUGAAGGUGGCCUGUGAGGGUUGCUGGAGGUAUCAGAAGUGCGAAUGCUGACAUAAGUAACGAUAAAGCGGGUGAAAAGCCCGCUCGCCGGAAGACCAAGGGUUCCUGUCCAACGUUAAUCGGGGCAGGGUGAGUCGACCCCUAAGGCGAGGCCGAAAGGCGUAGUCGAUGGGAAACAGGUUAAUAUUCCUGUACUUGGUGUUACUGCGAAGGGGGGACGGAGAAGGCUAUGUUGGCCGGGCGACGGUUGUCCCGGUUUAAGCGUGUAGGCUGGUUUUCCAGGCAAAUCCGGAAAAUCAAGGCUGAGGCGUGAUGACGAGGCACUACGGUGCUGAAGCGACAAAUGCCCUGCUUCCAGGAAAAGCCUCUAAGCAUCAGGUAACAUUAAAUCGUACCCCAAACCGACACAGGUGGUCAGGUAGAGAAUACCAAGGCGCUUGAGAGAACUCGGGUGAAGGAACUAGGCAAAAUGGUGCCGUAACUUCGGGAGAAGGCACGCUGAUAUGUAGGUGAAGCGACUUGCUCGUGGAGCUGAAAUCAGUCGAAGAUACCAGCUGGCUGCAACUGUUUAUUAAAAACACAGCACUGUGCAAACACGAAAGUGGACGUAUACGGUGUGACGCCUGCCCGGUGCCGGAAGGUUAAUUGAUGGGGUUAGCGGUAACGCGAAGCUCUUGAUCGAAGCCCCGGUAAACGGCGGCCGUAACUAUAACGGUCCUAAGGUAGCGAAAUUCCUUGUCGGGUAAGUUCCGACCUGCACGAAUGGCGUAAUGAUGGCCAGGCUGUCUCCACCCGAGACUCAGUGAAAUUGAACUCGCUGUGAAGAUGCAGUGUACCCGCGGCAAGACGGAAAGACCCCGUGAACCUUUACUAUAGCUUGACACUGAACAUUGAGCCUUGAUGUGUAGGAUAGGUGGGAGGCUUUGAAGUGUGGACGCCAGUCUGCAUGGAGCCGACCUUGAAAUACCACCCUUUAAUGUUUGAUGUUCUAACGUGGGCCCCUUACCGGGGUUGCGGACAGUGUCUGGUGGGUAGUUUGACUGGGGCGGUCUCCUCCUAAAGAGUAACGGAGGAGCACGAAGGUUGGCUAAUCCUGGUCGGACAUCAGGAGGUUAGUGCAAUGGCAUAAGCCAGCUUGACUGCGAGCGUGACGGCGCGAGCAGGUGCGAAAGCAGGUCAUAGUGAUCCGGUGGUUCUGAAUGGAAGGGCCAUCGCUCAACGGAUAAAAGGUACUCCGGGGAUAACAGGCUGAUACCGCCCAAGAGUUCAUAUCGACGGCGGUGUUUGGCACCUCGAUGUCGGCUCAUCACAUCCUGGGGCUGAAGUAGGUCCCAAGGGUAUGGCUGUUCGCCAUUUAAAGUGGUACGCGAGCUGGGUUUAGAACGUCGUGAGACAGUUCGGUCCCUAUCUGCCGUGGGCGCUGGAGAACUGAGGGGGGCUGCUCCUAGUACGAGAGGACCGGAGUGGACGCAUCACUGGUGUUCGGGUUGUCAUGCCAAUGGCACUGCCCGGUAGCUAAAUGCGGAAGAGAUAAGUGCUGAAAGCAUCUAAGCACGAAACUUGCCCCGAGAUGAGUUCUCCCUGACUCCUUGAGAGUCCUGAAGGAACGUUGAAGACGACGACGUUGAUAGGCCGGGUGUGUAAGCGCAGCGAUGCGUUGAGCUAACCGGUACUAAUGAACCGUGAGGCUUAACCU